GAUGAACGCUGGCGGCGUGCCUAAUACAUGCAAGUCGAGCGAACGGACGAGAAGCUUGCUUCUCUGAUGUUAGCGGCGGACGGGUGAGUAACACGUGGAUAACCUACCUAUAAGACUGGGAUAACUUCGGGAAACCGGAGCUAAUACCGGAUGAUAUUUUGAACCGCUUGGUUCAAAAGUGAAAGACGGUCUUGCUGUCACUUAUAGAUGGAUCCGCGCUGCAUUAGAUAGUUGGUAAGGUAACGGCUUAACAAGGCAACGAUGCAUAGCCGACCUGAGAGAGUGAUCGGCCACACUGGAACUGAGACACGGUCCAGACUCCUACGGGAGGCAGCAGUAGGGAAUCUUCCGCAAUGGGCGAAAGCCUGACGGAGCAACGCCGCGUGAGUGAUGAAGGUCUUCGGAUCGUAAAACUCUGUUAUUAGGGAAGAACAUAUGUGUAAGUAACUGUGCACAUCGUGACGGUACCUAAUCAGAAAGCCACGGCUAACUACGUG
RNAcentral lists this ribosomal RNA (497 nucleotides) under uncultured bacterium. RNAcentral's name for it is "partial 16S ribosomal RNA". It matches the Rfam family "Bacterial small subunit ribosomal RNA", at positions 28 to 507 of the family's 1533-position model. The record is from RNAcentral.